Molecule: RNA transcript, 1706 nt
Organism: Oncorhynchus kisutch (coho salmon)
Lineage: Eukaryota; Metazoa; Chordata; Actinopteri; Salmoniformes; Salmonidae
Gene: cep15
Gene name: centrosomal protein 15
Exons: 5
Source: RefSeq, a predicted model, not a curated record
UUGGAUGCCAACCACCGUUAUACCUCAUCGAAGAAGAAGGUCAGCAGUGUCAAUCUCUUUCUAGUUAAGUUAGCAGAAUGACAUCUCCUUCAUUUGAAGAAGUUGAACUGAACAAGAAACACGAAGAAAUAACACCAGCCCCCUCCACAAAGUGAUCGAUAGUAUAUCUUGGCUCGCACUGUGAUGAUUGGGAUUCUGAGCUCUCAGGUUCAUACAGGGAGUUAUGGUCUUCACUGAUCUCACUCUCCAUCAGCUCCAUCUGUGGCGUAUUGGGCCAGGACUCUGUUAUAUACUGAUGGUCGUGAGCGCUAUCUAGCUGGGCCCCGAGCACUUUAGUGAUGGUCCCGGUGGACCUCUUCUCCACUGCAGCACAUGAAUACUGGCAGCCAGGGGGAAGAGGGCUGUGCUCCUUCAGCAGAUGGAAAGUAGAUAUGAGCAACAGAAGAGCAAGAGGAGGCAGCAGGUGAAGCUGUCACAAGCUGCACAUGAGAGAAACUCCCAGCUCCUCCAGGACUUGCAGAAAAUGGAGAAUCGUCUCAGAACAAGAGAACUCCCACACCCUGACAUCCUCAGUUUGGAGACUCGUUACUGGGCAUCAGUUGAGGAGAAGAUCCCAGAAUGGGAGCGCUUCCUCCUGGGUAAGGGCCCACAUCCUAGCAGUGACCCUAGCAGAACACCUAAACAACAAAAACUGAAAACUACACCCAGAGACCAUGCACCCACACAAGAUGGGGCUCUGCCUCCUCGUCCUAUACUGAAACAUGUCAAAUGACCUGAAGUGGACAAUCUGUUUUGGCUUUUGACUUAAUCUUAUGUGAUCAACAUGGAGAAACUAAAAUCAGUUGACAGUUACACUGUAGAUUGAGGUUAUUGUGAGGUAAAUGCUCUUUUUUUAUAGGCCAUAUUUAGUCUCAUAUGGGCUGUUUUCCUAUCAGAAUAACAGUAUUCUUAGCACCAACACUAUUGAGUAGGCAUGUUGAUUUCCAUUGUAUUUACACUGCAGCUCCUUUUUGUGGUCAGCCAUUUUGAUGUUUUUUUUUUUUUUUUUUUAAUUUUACCUUUAUUUAACCAGGCAAGUCAGUUAAGAACAAAUUCUUAUUUUCAAUGACGGCCUAGGAACAGUGGGUUAACUGCCUGUUCAGGGGCAGAACGACAGAUUUGUACCUUGUCAGCUCGGGGAUUUGAACUUGCAACCUUUCGGUUACUAGUCCAACGCUCUAACCACUAGGCUACCCUGCCGCCCCACUAGGCUACCCUGUCUCAGGGUGAAGCUCCGAUUUAGCCUAUUACCCUGCAGUCUGCAGAAUUGCUGCUCUUGAUUGCAAUGUUUACAAGCAAUGCUCACACUUUCAGUGUGAUGGUAUUGCCUUUAACACUUUAUGGUAAUCCCAUCAGAAUUCUAUUUGAAACAAAGAAUAUGGUGUCUUUGAAUUCAUGGUUUAUAUCUGCCCACUAGGGGGAGGUAGCACCAUAGAUUUGGAUAACAAAGGCAAAUUCCUUCAGUUAGACUCAGGUCAUUCACUUCGUCUGUCACUCAGCAAUGAUUUAAUCAAAUGUGCUCUUAUUUAUUUGCAUGUAUUGUCUGUAUACUAGCUAUGUUCUUAUGUGUACAUUAAAGCACUUUUUUUGUUCAUAUACUGUGCAAUGUCUAUUAGUCGUAACAAGCAAUGUGCAUAUGUAACCAAUAAAGUUUUUUAUUAUUCACA